This is a long non-coding RNA of Amphiprion ocellaris (clown anemonefish), 353 nucleotides long. NCBI's taxonomy places the organism in Eukaryota, Metazoa, Chordata, Actinopteri, Pomacentridae. The record is from Ensembl.
CCAGUAUGUUACAAUGUGAUGCUGAGGAUCCUGACAAAGAGGUGACAAGUAGGAACUUCAGUCAUUACAUUUCCUCCUGUGAUGAGUUCAGAUGAGCAGAAAACAGCCUUAAGCCUUCAAUCUGCAGCUUUCAUGAACCUGCAGGAAUCCGGAUCGAGGACACUGACGGCUGUCACGACGCUUCACAGCCUCAUAAAUCUGGGAGACGCUGCAGCAGCAGAUCUGAUGACCCCAUACAUCACUGAAAGGUCACCGGCGUGACGACGAGGAAGCGAUUCGUCUUCUGAAAAUCCAGCAAGAAGAAUCUCUGCUGUGGAUCUCCAACUGAUGACUCUGCAGCUCUGAAGAUGUUU